UAAAGGAUUAAAGCCAUGCAUGUCUAAGUAUAAACGAUUUAAUCUUGAAACCGCGAAUGGCUCAUUAUAACAGCUAUAAUUUACUUGAUCUUGACACAAUCCUACUUGGAUAACUGUGGUAAUUCUAGAGCUAAUACAUGCAUUAAAGCUCUGACCUCACGGGAAGAGUGCAUUUAUUAGAACAAAACCAAGCGGCUUCGGCUGUUUCUGGUUGACUCAUAGUAACUGAGCUGAUCGCAUGGUCUUGUACCGGCGACGUGUCUUUCAAGUAUCUGCCGUAUCAACUUUCGAUGGUAGUGUAUCUGACUACCAUGGUGAUCACGCGUAACGGAGAAUAAGGGUUCGGCUCCGGAGAGUUCGCCUGAGAAAUCGCGAACACAUCUAAGGAAGGCAGCAGGCGCGAAAAUUACCCACUCUCAGCACGAGGAGGUAGUGACGAAAAAUAACGAGACCGUUCUCUUUGAGGCCGGUCAUCGGAAUGGGUACAAUUUAAACCCUUUAACGAGUAUCUAUGAGAGGGCAAGUCUGGUGCCAGCAGCCGCGGUAAUUCCAGCUCUCAAAGUGCAUAGAAUUAUUGCUGCGGUUAAAAAGCUCGUAGUUGGAUCUGUGCCAUAGGACUGGGUCCACUUUCGGGUGCGUACUCAGCUCCUAGGCUUUUUGACGGUUUUCCCGUCGUAGCCUUCACUGGUUGCGGCGGGUGGCUGUCGAGUUUACUUUGAGAAAAUCAGAGUGCUCAAUACAGGCGUAUCGCUUGAAUGAUUGUGCAUGGAAUAAUAGAAAAGGAUUUCGGUCCUCUUUUAUUGGUUUUGUGGACUGAGAUAAUGGUUAACAGGGACAAACGGGGGCAUUCGUAUCGCUGCGUGAGAGGUGAAAUUCUUGGAACAGUAGCGAGACGCCCUACUGCGAAAGCAUUUGCCCAGGAA
Molecule: ribosomal RNA, 923 nt
Filed under: Nematoda environmental sample
Lineage: Eukaryota; Metazoa; Nematoda
Description: SSU rRNA
Rfam family: Eukaryotic small subunit ribosomal RNA
Source: RNAcentral